GCCUUGGUAGUGUAAUGGAUUAGCACGGCAGACCGGAUAUCUGUAAGUGCGGGUUCGAGUCCCGCCUGAGGUU
Dictyocaulus viviparus (bovine lungworm) is the source of this 73-nucleotide non-coding RNA. The record is from Rfam. Lineage: Eukaryota; Metazoa; Nematoda; Chromadorea; Rhabditida; Metastrongylidae.